This 490-nucleotide ribosomal RNA is filed under the name Blastocystis sp. Its description in RNAcentral is "SSU rRNA". It matches the Rfam family "Eukaryotic small subunit ribosomal RNA", at positions 460 to 953 of the family's 1831-position model. The record is from RNAcentral. Lineage: Eukaryota; Bigyra; Opalinata; Blastocystidae.
GGAGGUAGUGACAAUAAAUCUCAAUACGAAGCCUUUGGUUUUGUAAUUGAAUUGAGAACAAUGUACAAUCGUUAUCGAUAAACAAUUGGAGGGCAAGUCUGGUGCCAGCAGCCGCGGUAAUUCCAGCUCCAAUAGCGUAUAUUAACGUUGUUGCAGUUAAAAAGCUCGUAGUUGAAGUUUAGAUGGUUUGAAGGGGGUGUUAGUAUUCGUACUAUCUGCUCUCUUUCGAUUAUCGACUUCCAGGUAAGCUCAAUAAUCCCUCCGGGGACUAUCGAGCCAGACUGGUCUUUUACUGUGAGAAAAUUAGAGUGUUUAAAGCAGACUUUAUUUAGUUUGAAUAGAUUAGCAUGGAAUAAUAAGAUUGGCUUUCAUAGUCGAUUUUUUGGUUUGUUUAUGAAAGCAAGAUUAAUAGGGACAGUUGGGGGUAUUCAUAUUCAAUAGCUAGAGGUGAAAUUCUAUGAUUUAUGGAAGAUGAACAAGUGCGAAAGCA